This 4568-nucleotide long non-coding RNA is filed under the name Brassica napus (rape). RNAcentral describes it as "long non-coding RNA (BNAP_LNC002909)". The record is from RNAcentral. Lineage: Eukaryota; Viridiplantae; Streptophyta; Magnoliopsida; Brassicales; Brassicaceae.
UGAUCUUUCCUUAUAUAGUUAAUAUAAAUUACUAUUUAGUCGUGACCUGUUCGUUAUAAGCAGGGUUGACUCUGACAUCUGAGCUUAAUUAAGUUCAUGAAACACCAAUUUUACGCGCCAAAAUUUAUAUAAAAGUGUAAAGACAUCAACAAAUUUUAGUGUGAUAUUUUAUGGACAGAUAAUUUUUUUAUGCUUCACGCAUAAAUACUAAGGGUCGGACCUGCUUGUAAGUGAGAUGCUGUUUCAGUUUCUUUUUCAAAUGAGUUUGUUUGAGAUUGAAUUUCUAUUGUCAUUGACAGAUAUAGUACUCUAGACUAUAUGAUAAUAGUGAUAACCAUUAUUCACAACAUGGUUGAUAUUAAACGAGACAGAUAAUUCAAAUAUACAUCUAAGAAGUCAACUUAAGUCAAUAGGUUAGUAGUCCAAAUAACGUGGUUUUCUACCAAAGAAAUAGAGAUGUGGUUUUCAAUAACUGAUGACGUAUCAAUAAUGAUGUAAUAAGUACAAAUUACUCUAAAUAUUAGUCUUCAUUUUCCAUCUUGUAUAGUCUUCUUUAGGUGAUGUGUCUAAAAAUUAAGUGUCAAAAUAAUGAAUUUCUAUAUUUUAAAAUUUUAAUUGGUUCUUUGCCGGAAUAUGUAAUUAUGUAUGGAUAAAAUCUAAACCCAUAAGUUGACCCAAAAUAAAAAAUUUAAACCCAUAAAAUAAAUAUAUCAAAUUCUUACUGUUGGCAAGCCAAAAUAGUUGUUCUCUCAGAUUUCCUAGAGCCAAACAGCCACUUUCUAAGAAAAAAAUCUAGUGAUAUUAAGGAAAAUCUAACUACAAACAAGGACAUACAAGACUUCCAGAUUUUGUGAUCGACACGUGGAGACGACCGGUUACAGAUUACCACGAGAUUCAGACGCGGAAAAGCUAUCUUCUGUCAGUUAUCGAUUCCGACAGAGAUAGAGAUGACGUCUUCCACAGCAAAUUUGACACGUGCAUCUCAUCUCUUUUUUUUUAUUUUAAUCGAACAUUUUCUCUUUUUUUUUUUCUUAACAUAGUUGUUUUUCUAUUGUAUUCAAAAGUUCGCAAGACCCAUCAUCAAUUUCUCUCUAAUUUCGAUUUUCUUACUUGUUAUUUUUUUGUUGCGUAUAAUUCGUGAGUAAGCAGUUACGCCUAAGUUUACGAUCCUUAAAAACGUUUGGUUCAACAAGAGAUUAUAUAGAAAUCCAGAGGUUUUAAUUAAAUAUCUCUUCAAAAUUUUUAAAAAAUCUGACGACAAAGAACAAUUAAGACGUAUAAUACACGUGUCCAUGCAUUCAAUUACAAAAGCUAAUGACGGUACUAAACGUCAAAAAUGAAUGCCCUUGGACGUGGGUAAUUACACAAAAUCAUCUAUAUAUAUAUGAGCUUCAUAUCUCAAGCAGUCCAUAAUUAAACCAAGAGAUCUCAAUCAUUCCUUACAUACAAUUCUUGUUAUAUAUUUGAUCCCCCAAAAGAAAUGGCUACUUCACGUCUAGCAAGGUUUGUAUCGGAGGUUGCUCCGCCUCAGUUUGUGACGGUGAUGAGGAGACACAGAGCAGCGAAGCAGAAGCUUGACACAAUCAAAGAAGAAGAGUAUAAAGAAGAUUGUUUCAAUGGUGGGGUGAUGAUGAUGUCGUCUAAUAAGAUGUCAUCAUCUCAUCAUCAUGCCUAUUCUUCUUCUUCCUCUACUUCGGUUUCUAAUUCUGGAUCUACCUCUAAGAGUUUUUCUCGUUGAGGCUCGAAGCUCUUUUUCGGUCUUCGAAAAUUAAGAUGAUCUUAUAUGCAAGGGAGUUAUAUUUUGGAUACUGAUCGGGUCCGUAUUUUUGUGUGCACCCGUUUCUAUAUGUAGUUUGCUUAAGAUUCGGACCUUUUUAUUAUUAUCUAAAAGGUCCGACAUAUUUAAAUGUUGUGUGAUUGUAUCUCUUGAUGAUCAGUUGGAUAAUUGAGGGUUCUACAUGCUGUAACCCUGCUUUAAUAAGGAUGUUGUUUUGUAUACGUUUACACAUAAUAAUAUAAAAAUUUCUUGAUUGCUGUGGGAAACAAUAGAGACUGAUGCAAAUAUACUCGCUACACAUAUUUUAAUUGCUAUCAGCUCGGUCGAACUAUUGGAUUUACAUGAUUACAUUACAUCACACGUAUUUGGCAUUUUGCUAUAUGUAAGCAAGAGUUGAAUGCGUGGAACAUAACUGUAUAUCAUGCAGUACAAUCGCAUUCUCUGAUCCACUCUCUAAACACCGGAGGGAGGUCCGGUUUGGUAUGUAAAAUUGAAACUGGAUAAUUGAUUAUCGGGCCCAAAUGGGCCUAUAAUUUAUAAUCGGCCCAAAUAAUAACACACUCACUAAACCCAACCCUGAGACGACGAUUCAACGCCAUUUUGUUGUCUUCUUCUUCUUCAUUCUCCAUCUGCGCACGGAUCUCCCUCAAACACUCCCUUAUCCUGUCGAUUAAAUCCUCUCAGGUAAGCUCCUUCGAAAUUUCUCUUAGAUCAAUCGUGAUUUCACAUCCCGCCUGGUGGAAUCGUAAAGUUCCGUAAUUUUCUAAAGAUAUCAAAUUGCAUAGAAUGACAAAACCCAAUUGUUCCCCGUUCUAUUACUCAUCUGGGUUUACUCGAAAGUGCUUAAAUUUUAACAAUUUGAUUAAAAGUAUCGAACUUUACUUUAUGAUUUUGAGUACUACUUUUAUCAAAAACCUAAAUGUUCUUCUGGAUUGAUGCGUUGUUUGGUGAUGCCUGGAGUUGUUGUUAAUGUGGAUUUUGCAGAAUCAUGUUGACGGAAACACCAUUUAGGGCAAGAGAGAAGCUUCUGGAGAAGCAGAGGUUGUUCCAGAGCAUCCAGAGGCAUACUUACCUCAAAGGACCUAUGGACAAGGUCACCUCCGUUGCCAUCCCUCUUGCCUUGGCUGCUUCUUCUCUCUACAUGAUUGUAAGCUUUUUCAUCUCUUGUUUGGUUUUGUAAGAACUAAGUUUUUCAUGCUUGCUAUGUUUUUCUUCAAUUCUAUUGUUUUUAAUCCUGUUAGUUCCCAUACCCUAGUUAAUAUGUUCAUCAUCUAAUUAUGGGUGGCUGGAAACAGGGAACAGGAAUCUACAACAUGUCGAAUGGAAUCGGGAAGAAGGAAUAAGUAAACAGCUUCUUCUUCUUUUUUCCUUGUUAUUUACGCUUUUGGAGGGGUUUUUUUUUCUAUGUUUAUCCAGUGGCUAGCAUGAUGCGGUUGCAGACGUAAGGUUGCACUAGUGGUCUUUUUUCUUGCAUUUUUGCCAAAUAAUUGCAGACAAUGUCGAAAGAUGAAAGAUGUUUGAUUGGUAUAAAGUUCCAAUGUUUGGAAAGUUCUUCAUUUGCUUAUGACAAAGUUGAAUUCUUUUCUUCCGCCCUCUACUUAACUUUCUAUAGUAUCUCUGCGUUACUCUUCACAGUAUUUGAGCUGUAGUGACCUGAUGAUGUGCGUUGUGUCCUACUUAUAAAAAAAAAAAAAAAAAAAAAAAAAAAAAAAAAAAAAAAANNNNNNNNNNNNNNNNNNNNNNNNNNNNNNNNNNNNAAAAAAAAAAAAAAAAAAAAAAGCAAAGUAAAAACAACAAAAAUCCAAAAAUAUGAUUCAAAUACAGACCAAUAAGGCCAUAAAGACUUUCUUUAAUUUUCAUAGAAAACCAUUUAAAUUGAUUUUAAAAAAUAGAAAAUUAGCAAAUAACUGAACUUACAAAUUUAAGCCCCUUUUUUUUGUCUCCGACCUCUCACUAGAAACACUCAACCAUAGAAACGUUCCGGUGACCGGCGGCUCUAUAGUCGCCGGUUACUGACUUUUUGUUUUUGUUUUGUAAGUAACUUCGAUCAUAAGGAUCGACUGUGUUUUUUCGCUUUGGCGAUUUUCUGUUUCGUUAGGCGAUUUUGGUAUGUUAUGGUUAGCCAAAUCAGAGCCGUUUACCAAUCUCAUCUUCGCUCUGAUUUGUGUUGAACCUAAAUAAAGUUUCAGAUAUAGUUCUUCUUCUUCUGGGUAGAUAGAGAUGUCGGUUGAUUGAGAGAUUUGAUUUCUUUCUUGGGUAGAAAAGCUUAGAUUUUGAUUCGGAGAUGGUAUAAAGCUCCACUUUCAGUCAUAAGGAGUUUCCACGAAGGUCAAGAUCUGAGGUUUGGAAUAAGCUUCGAGAUCCGGUCCGGAAUUUAGAUGAAUUGGAGCUGCCAUAUAGACAGUGUUCCAAUAAAAUUCUGUGCUCGUUUCUAUUGAAGUGUUCUUUGGACUCAUACUCUACCAAUUGGGAUUGAAGAUCUCUCUUUCGCUGAAGAUUGAAGGAACGAAGAACAUGCAAACAGCCUCAACUGAACGGAGAUGGAGAUGGAUGGAUUACCGGCGAGUUAUCCGGCACCGCCUUUCUUCUUCCUCGGCAAAGGAGAUAACGCCACGAGUCUUCACACGUGUCUUUUAGCAUGUAAUAGUUAUCUGUGGUGUUUGGGCUUUGGACAAAAAUUGAGUCUGUUUGUAAUCUUUGCCUAUUGGGCUUCUGGUUAAUGAAACCACAAGUUGACAAAAAAAAAAAAAAAAAGCCCCUUUUUUUUAAUUAUAUUUUUGUUUAAGUUUGU